CUGGUGGCGAGUGGCGAACGGGUGAGUAAUAUAUCGGAACGUACCCAAGAGUGGGGGAUAACGUAGCGAAAGUUACGCUAAUACCGCAACGAUCUAUGGAUGAAAGCAGGGGACCGCAAGGCCUUGUGCUCCUGGAGCGGCCGAUAUCUGAUUAGCUAGUUGGUGAGGUAAAGGCUCACCAAGGCGACGAUCAGUAGCUGGUCUGAGAGGACGACCAGCCACACUGGAACUGAGACACGGUCCAGACUCCUACGGGAGGCAGCAGUGGGGAAUUUUGGACAAUGGGCGCAAGCCUGAUCCAGCAAUGCCGCGUGAGUGAAGAAGGCCUUCGGGUUGUAAAGCUCUUUUGUCAGGGAAGAAACGGUAGGGGCUAAUAUCCCUUGCUAAUGACGGUACCUGAAGAAUAAGCACCGGCUAACUACGUGCCAGCAGCCGCGGUAAUACGUAGGGUGCAAGCGUUAAUCGGAAUUACUGGGCGUAAAGCGUGCGCAGGCGGUUUUGUAAGUCUGUCGUGAAAGCCCCGGGCUCAACCUGGGAAUUGCGAUGGAGACUGCAAGGCUUGAAUCUGGCAGAGGGGGGUAGAAUUCCACGUGUAGCAGUGAAAUGCGUAGAGAUGUGGAGGAACACCGAUGGCGAAGGCAGCCCCCUGGGUCAAGAUUGACGCUCAUGCACGAAAGCGUGGGGAGCAAACAGGAUUAGAUACCCUGGUAGUCCACGCCCUAAACGAUGUCUACUAGUUGUCGGGUUUUAAUUAACUUGGUAACGCAGCUAACGCGUGAAGUAGACCGCCUGGGGAGUACGGUCGCAAGAUUAAAACUCAAAGGAAUUGACGGGGACCCGCACAAGCGGUGGAUGAUGUGGAUUAAUUCGAUGCAACGCGAAGAACCUUACCUACCCUUGACAUGUCAGGAAGGCCGGAGAGAUCUGGCUGUGCCCGAAAGGGAACCUGAACACAGGUGCUGCAUGGCUGUCGUCAGCU
Molecule: ribosomal RNA, 979 nt
Filed under: Massilia suwonensis
Lineage: Bacteria; Pseudomonadati; Pseudomonadota; Betaproteobacteria; Burkholderiales; Oxalobacteraceae
Description: bacterial SSU rRNA
Rfam family: Bacterial small subunit ribosomal RNA
Source: RNAcentral